AACCAUGGACUCAAUUCAAAUUGAAUAUACGGUUGAGGGGAACUGUGAUGCUUCUUGCUUUUGUGAGACCGUCACGCCUGUUUCUUGCUAUUGUUGCUUAACUUAACCACUAUUUAUUUGAUAAUUCGGCGCUCGAGAGGCAGAGUUUCAAGGGAUCUAUGAAUUUGUUUCAAUAUUAUACUUCUCCCCCAGUUUUCGGAUUGGGGUUUGAGUCGUUUUUAUUGAUUUACUCGCAAGGGUAGAAUUCUUGAUCGUUGCCAUUACAUAUAUGGAUGAGACAGAAGUAGCCCCGUCGAUGAGUACCUAGAUAGAGUAGGGUGCACGACUUUGAACUCUUCACUUUCGAGUGAAAUGAGUUUCGUCGUCUUUGUUGUCAUUCUACAGCGGGAUAUUCCUAAAACUGUGUAGAUCCUAGUUGGUCAUUUACACUGUGGUAAAACAAACUGCUACAUUU
Molecule: small nucleolar RNA, 454 nt
Filed under: Vanderwaltozyma polyspora DSM 70294
Lineage: Eukaryota; Fungi; Ascomycota; Saccharomycetes; Saccharomycetales; Saccharomycetaceae
Description: Small nucleolar RNA snR30
Rfam family: Small nucleolar RNA snR30
Source: Rfam by way of RNAcentral